UCGGGAAUUUUGGGCAAUGGGCGAAAGCCUGACCCAGCAACGCCGCGAGAGGGAUGAAGUAUUUCGGUAUGUAAACCUCGAAAGAAUGGGAAGAAUAAAUGACGGUACCAUUUAUAAGCUCCGGCUAACUACGUGCCAGCAGCCGCGGUAAUACGUAGGGAGCAAGCGUUGUUCGGAUUUACUGGGCGUAAAGGGCGCGUAGGCGGCGCGGUAAGUCACUUGUGAAAUCUCUGAGCUCAACUCGGAACGGCCAAGUGAUACUGCUGUGCUAGAGUGCGGAAGAGGCAACCGGAAUUCUUGGUGUAGGGGUGAAAUGCGUAGAUAUCAAGAGGAACACCUGAGGCGAAGGCGGGUUGCUGGGCCGACACUGACGCUGAUGCGCGAAAGCCAGGGGAGCAAACG
RNAcentral lists this ribosomal RNA (402 nucleotides) under uncultured bacterium. RNAcentral describes it as "bacterial SSU rRNA". It matches the Rfam family "Bacterial small subunit ribosomal RNA", at positions 355 to 774 of the family's 1533-position model. The record is from RNAcentral.